AUUGAACGCUGGCGGCAGGCCUAACACAUGCAAGUCGAACGGUAACAGGAAGAAGCUUGCUUCUUUGCUGACGAGUGGCGGACGGGUGAGUAAUGUCUGGGAAACUGUCUGAUGGAGGGGGAUAACUACUGGAAACGGUAGCUAAUACCGCAUAACGUCGCAAGACCAGAGAGGGGGACCUUCGGGCCUCUUGCCAUCGGAUGUGCCCAGAUGGGAUUAGCUAGUAGGUGGGGUAACGGCUCACCUAGGCGACGAUCCCUAGCUGGUCUGAGAGGAUGACCAGCCACACUGGAACUGAGACACGGUCCAGACUCCUACGGGAGGCAGCAGUGGGGAAUAUUGCACAAUGGGCGCAAGCCUGAUGCAGCCAUGCCGCGUGUAUGAAGAAGGCCUUCGGGUUGUAAAGUACUUUCAGCGGGGAGGAAGGGAGUAAAGUUAAUACCUUUGCUCAUUGACGUUACCCGCAGAAGAAGCACCGGCUAACUCCGUG
Molecule: ribosomal RNA, 490 nt
Filed under: uncultured bacterium
Lineage: Bacteria
Description: partial 16S ribosomal RNA
Rfam family: Bacterial small subunit ribosomal RNA
Source: RNAcentral